Molecule: long non-coding RNA, 416 nt
Filed under: Chlamydomonas reinhardtii
Lineage: Eukaryota; Viridiplantae; Chlorophyta; Chlorophyceae; Chlamydomonadales; Chlamydomonadaceae
Description: long non-coding RNA (CREI_LNC000496)
Source: RNAcentral
GAAAACGUGGCCCCCGGUCCCUGUCCACAUUCCGCUCCGGUGAGAAGCCUCGGCGGUCAUGGUCGGGAGGCGAGUAUGGUCUCCCGCGCUCAGGUGAGUACCCACGAUGGCGAUCCGGAGACACAGGUCCAUUGAAAUUGCCUGGCAGGCAGGCGUGAACGGGACCAGGUCAACUGAGCGUGGAAAUCGGUCGGCGGCCUUUACACAGGGCCUUUGCGCAUCCCAAGGCUGGUCCAAACGAGACUAGGUGACCAAGACACGAGGCCAGGCUGGGGCUGCCCAACUAGCGCCGCUUGUAGAAGCCGCAAGGUGCACGCGAUGACCAGGCUCCAACGCGCCAGAGCUCAGGCAGCAGUCUAGCCACUCUAUGCUAUAGGAAAUGCUUGCCUCUACUCCAAACCGCGCAGCUUACCGGC